GGAUUUAUUUCGUGCGUAAUAUGAAUUAGUUGUAAACUAAAUAUAUGCUCUUGGAUAUGUAGGCUAGCCCCUGGUAUUUUUGGUUGCUCUUGGAUAUGAAUGAGUUUUGCUAGUGAUCUACAGCUCCUUUGAUGUUCGUCCAAUGGAGUUUAUUGUAGUGCAUAAGGUUCUCUAGCAUGUGGUAGAUUUUCUUGCUAUUCGGUGCCCUGUAGCAUAUUGUUUUACUGCUGUCAAUAUGCCUUCUGGUUGAAAACUGCACUGUCAACAGUGUUAUUUUCACUAAGUCUGAAACUGUGUGCGAGAUGCCAUUUUGUGAGUUCUUUUCCUAGUGAUCCAUGCUUCCAUACUAGUUGUAUCUAGUAGGGUGUUAUUGUGCAUCUUGACCACUACUGCAUCAUGCCUUGUUUGAGCAUUUUAGAAUCAUGUAGCUUGUUGUUGUAGGGUGCAGAA
This 450-nucleotide long non-coding RNA is filed under the name Hordeum vulgare. RNAcentral's name for it is "long non-coding RNA (HVUL_LNC019010)". The record is from RNAcentral. Lineage: Eukaryota; Viridiplantae; Streptophyta; Magnoliopsida; Poales; Poaceae.